This 390-nucleotide ribosomal RNA is filed under the name uncultured bacterium. Its description in RNAcentral is "bacterial SSU rRNA". It matches the Rfam family "Bacterial small subunit ribosomal RNA", at positions 28 to 417 of the family's 1533-position model. The record is from RNAcentral.
GACGAACGCUGGCGGCGUGCUUAACACAUGCAAGUCGAGCGGUAAGGCCCUUUCGGGGGUACACGAGCGGCGAACGGGUGAGUAACACGUGGGUGACCUGCCCUCAGCUCUGGGAUAAGCCCCGGGAAACUGGGUCUAAUACCGGAUAUGACUCCAUGACGCAUGUUGUGGGGUGAAAGCCUUGUGCGGCUGAGGAUGGGGCCCGCGGCCUAUCAGCUUGUUGGUGGGGUGAUGGCCUACCAAGGCGACGACGGGUAGCCGGCCUGAGAGGGCGACCGGCCACACUGGGACUGAGAUACGGGCCCAGACUCCUACGGGAGGCAGCAGUGGGGAAUCUUGCGCAAUGGGCGAAAGCCUGACGCAGCGACGCCGCGUGAGGGAUGACGGCCU